UGGGAAUCCUCAACCGCUGCUAGGGACGAGACACCAGCACAACGGGACUGAUGUGGCAGAGGUGUCACUUAUUUGCAGAGGUGUCACUUAUGGGCCCUGGCUGUCACUUAUGGGUCAAGGUUUGCACUUAUGGGGCAGGAAGGGGUCACUUAUGGGGCACGGUUGUCACUUAUGGGGCAGGGCUGUCACUUAUGGGGUCAGAGGUGUUAAUUAUGGGGCAGGGCUGUCACUUAUGGGUCAGGGCUGUCACUUAUGGGGCAGGAAGGGGGCACUUAUGGGGCAGGGCUGUCACUUAUGGGGCAGGGCUGUCACUUAAGGGGCAGGGCUGUCACUUAUGGGGCAGGGCUGUCACUUAUGGGGCCUGGCUGUCACUUAUGGGGCAGGAAGGGGGCACUUAUGGGGGAGGGCACUUAUGGGGCAGAGGUGUCACUUAUGGGGCCUGGCUGUCACUUAUGGGUCAGGGAUGUCACUUAUGGGUCAGGGUUUCACUUAUGGGGCAGGGCUGUCACUUAUGGGGUAGGAAGGGUGCACUUAUGGGGUGGGGGGGGCACUUAUGGGUCCGGGCUGUCACUUAUGGGGCAUGGUUGUCACUUAUGGGGCAGAAAGGGGGCACUUAUGGAGUGGGGAGGGCUCUUAUGGGGCAGAGGUGUUACUUAUGGGGCCUG
Molecule: long non-coding RNA, 665 nt
Filed under: Coturnix japonica (Japanese quail)
Lineage: Eukaryota; Metazoa; Chordata; Aves; Galliformes; Phasianidae
Description: lncRNA (ENSCJPG00005002810.1)
Source: RNAcentral